GUGCUCACUUCAGCAGCACAUAUACUAAAAUUGGAACCAUGCAGAAGAUUGACAUGGCCACUGCUCUAGGAUGACAUGCAAAUUUGUGAAGCAUUCUGUAUUCUU
This is a small nuclear RNA of Jaculus jaculus (lesser Egyptian jerboa), 105 nucleotides long. Lineage: Eukaryota; Metazoa; Chordata; Mammalia; Rodentia; Dipodidae. The record is from Ensembl.